CUUCCGGUCUAUAGUAGUGUGUGGACAGAUGGCUUGUGCUCCUCUGCAUUUGACUUUUUGGGUGAAUAUUAUUUUUAAAAAUCCUAUAGUGAUGUGUUCUGUAUUAAAUCUAUUCCCUACCACAGGCAGACAGUCUUCUGGGUGUCCCCAGGGCCCCUGUGAGGACUUAGCCAGGGGGUGACCCGGGGGUCGGUGCUAGACACACGCUGAGCCACGCCAGAGCCUUCCGAGGGAGAGGGGCAGGCGCCGGGGAGAGACAGAAGCUGGGGAGGAGGAGAGCCAGGCCUGGGCGGGCGCGCUGGUCUCCUCUGAGGGCCGCGUUUCUCGUUGCCCUUGCCAUCCUGGCUCGGGACCCCCAAAUGUAUGGAGGACCUGCCCCCUGGCCCGGCUGGGUGGAAGUUGGGGAAUCUCUGCUCUUCCUUUCCCUGCACUUGCAGGCAGGCCCGGGUGUCUCAGAGCUGUGGUGCCGGAAGUGUGACCAGGUGCCCGGGGAGGUGACUGCUUGCCCAGGACAGCACCCCCGCCCUUGUCAAGCUCCUUGAUUAUUUUUUCCUGUUGGCUUGGCCUCUGGGGACAGCCUCCCGCCCAGGAUGUGAGGCAGGCAGCAGCUUGCUGGCCCAGCCUGGCCCUGAGGUGGGGGGUCCUGGCUGCGACCUGGGAGAGAUGCCCCCUUCCCUGGCAUGCUGAGAGCAGCCGGCUCAUUCCUGCAGCCCAGAGUCCUUCUUGAGGGAGGAGGCCAUGGUGUCCACCCCAUCAACCUCCGGACGGCCAGACAGGUUUGGCCACAGACGGGAACGGCAUCUUCUCUAUCGAGGCAGGGUUGUAUUUUGAAGGAGGUCUCUGGACAGUUGGCAGGACAGGCUGCUGAGAACCCGAGGUCACCGCGGCCCCCGGCCCUGGAAGAUGGAGUAGCCUCGGACUGUGUGACUCUCGGGCCUCAGAGAGGCAGCUCUGGGCUGGGCAGAGGUGAUGCUUGCUGCUUUUCCAGCCGCCCCCGGGUACAAUUCCUCCUGUAAUUUCACUUCCUGAGCCUCUUGGCGCACUUCCUAGUUGUGUAAUAUUGAGCAAGUUCUUGAAAUCCUCUAAGACUCAGUUUUCUCAUCGCUAAAAUGGGAACCGUAGCUGGCCCUGGUGACAUGUGCGGGAGUCCCAGCCCUUGGGAAGCUGACACUCGCUUUAGCCCAGAAGUUCGAGACCAGCCUGGGCAGCACAGUGGCUCAAAACAAAAGAUUAAAAGGGCAGAGAUGUAGCUCAGUAGCAGAGCACUUGACCUUGGUUCUAACCCUUGUACUACAAAACUAACUAACUAAAUAAAUUGGGACAAUAAGAGGAAC
Molecule: long non-coding RNA, 1334 nt
Filed under: Fukomys damarensis (Damara mole-rat)
Lineage: Eukaryota; Metazoa; Chordata; Mammalia; Rodentia; Bathyergidae
Description: lncRNA (ENSFDAG00000031698.1)
Source: RNAcentral